This 2163-nucleotide ribosomal RNA is filed under the name activated sludge metagenome. Its description in RNAcentral is "bacterial LSU rRNA". It matches the Rfam family "Bacterial large subunit ribosomal RNA", at positions 3 to 1988 of the family's 2925-position model. The record is from RNAcentral.
UUAAGCUACAAAGAGCGCACGGCGGAUGCCUUGGCGCCAGAUGCCGAUGAAGGACGUGGCAAGCUGCGAUAAGCUACGGUUAGCUGCAAGCAAGCGUUGACCCGUAGAUUUCCGAAUGGGGAAACCCACCAGAGUGAUCUGGUACUGCUGCAUGAACACAUAGUGCAGUAGAGGGAACCCGGUGAACUGAAACAUCUAAGUAACCGGAGGAAGAGAAAACAAACGUGAUUUCCUAAGUAGCGGCGAGCGAACGGGAAAGAGUCCAAACCAUAUUAGUGUCAAGCGGUACGGCGUUGCUAAUAUGGGGUUGUGGGAGUUACCAGUUGCAGCGUACUCUGCAGCAGGGGAAGUGAAGGCUAGCGGAACUGCCUGGAAAGGCAGGCCAUAGAGAGUGACAGCCUCGUACGUGAAAGCCGUAAGCACCCCGGUAACCACCCGAGUACUAUGGGACACGUGCAAUCCCAUAGGAAGCUGGGAAGACCACUUUCCAAGACUAAAUACACGCUGGCGACCGAUAGUGAAAUAGUACCGUGAGGGAAAGGUGAAAAGCACCCCGGGAGGGGAGUGAAAUAGUACCUGAAACCGUGUGCUUACAAACAGUUGGAGGGCGUUAAAGCCUGACAGCGUACUUUUUGUAGAACGGACCGGCGAGUUUCUGUAUGCAGCGAGGUUAAGGUGUUAAGCACCAGAGCCGUAGCGAAAGCGAGUCUGAAUAGGGCGGUAAGUUGCAUAUAGAAGACCCGAAACCGGGUGAUCUACCCAUGGCCAGGGUGAAGCGCGAGUAAAACCGCGUGGAGGCCCGAACCUUUUAGCGUUGAAAAGCUAUAGGAUGAGCUGUGGGUAGGAGUGAAAAGCUAAUCGAACUCGGAUAUAGCUGGUUCUCCCCGAAAUAGCUUUAGGGCUAGCCUCAAAGUAAGAGUAUCGGAGGUAGAGCACUGAUCGGGCUAGGGGCCUAACGGUUACCGAACCCUUUCAAACUCCGAAUGCCGAUAUGAGAUCUUUGGGAGUCAGUCUGCGUGGGAUAAGCCGCGCAGACAAGAGGGAAACAGCCCAGACCGUCGGCUAAGGUCCCCAAGUUCAGACUAAGUGGUAAAGGAUGUGGAAUUGCACAGACAACCAGGAUGUUGGCUUAGAAGCAGCCAUACAUUUAAAGAGUGCGUAAUAGCUCACUGGUCGAGUGGUCCUGCGCCGAAAAUGUCCGGGGCUCAAACCUGUCACCGAAGCUAUGGAUUGCUGUAGUAUCACUGAUACUCUUAAGGGAGUAUUAACGAAAGGACAUUUGUCAAAAUCGACCGAUUUGAUAGAGGUUUUUGAUAGAAGAUUUUGACUCAAUGUCUCCACUCAAGCUCAAAGCAAAGCGAUGCAGAUCGAUAAGCUUGAGGGUAUCAGUGAUACUACAGCAGUGGUAGAGGAGCAUUGUGUAUUGGCUGAAGCUGUACCGAGAGGAGCAGUGGACGAUACACAAGAGAGAAUGCCGGUAUGAGUAGCGAGAGCGAAGUGAGAAUCUUUGCCGUCGAAAGCCUAAGGUUUCCUGAGGAAGGUUCGUCCACUCAGGGUAAGUCGGGACCUAAGCCGAGGACGAAAGUCGUAGGCGAUGGACAAUCGGUUGAGAUUCCGAUACCACCGACAUCCGUUUGAGAGAGGCAGUGACACAGGAGGAUAGAUGGAGCGAGUUGUUGGUAGAGCUCGUUCAAGCAGUUAGUCCGGGGAGUGAGUGAAGUACCAUUCCCCAUAAAGGAUGAGCUGUGAUGAGGACCGAAAUUGGAGUAGGGAAGCCAUCGAAUCCCCACUGGCGAGAAAAGCUGCUAUCGAGGAUGGAGGUGCCCGUACCGCAAACCGACACAGGUAGGCGAGGAGAGAAUCCUAAGACGAACGGGAGAACCCUUGUUAAGGAACUCUGCAAAAUGACCCCGUAACUUCGGGAGAAGGGGUGCCUUCUUAACGGGAGGCCGCAGUGAAAAGGCCCAAGCGACUGUUUAGCAAAAACACAGGUCUCUGCUAACUCGAAAGAGGAAGUAUAGGGGCUGACGCCUGCCCAGUGCUGGAAGGUUAAGGGGAAGAGUUAGUCGAAAGGCGAAGCUUAGAACCGAAGCCCCAGUGAACGGCGGCCGUAACUAUAACGGUCCUAAGGUAGCGAAAUUCCUUGUCGGGUAAGUUCCGACC